Molecule: non-coding RNA, 25 nt
Filed under: Rattus norvegicus (Norway rat)
Lineage: Eukaryota; Metazoa; Chordata; Mammalia; Rodentia; Muridae
Source: RNAcentral
UUCAAAAGUUGCCUGAUCUGCAGAC